RNAcentral lists this ribosomal RNA (700 nucleotides) under Aquipseudomonas alcaligenes. Its description in RNAcentral is "bacterial SSU rRNA". It matches the Rfam family "Bacterial small subunit ribosomal RNA", at positions 38 to 733 of the family's 1533-position model. The record is from RNAcentral. Lineage: Bacteria; Pseudomonadati; Pseudomonadota; Gammaproteobacteria; Pseudomonadales; Pseudomonadaceae.
GGCGGCAGGCCUAACACAUGCAAGUCGAGCGGAUGAGUGGAGCUUGCUCCAUGAUUCAGCGGCGGACGGGUGAGUAAUGCCUAGGAAUCUGCCUGGUAGUGGGGGACAACGUUUCGAAAGGAACGCUAAUACCGCAUACGUCCUACGGGAGAAAGCAGGGGACCUUCGGGCCUUGCGCUAUCAGAUGAGCCUAGGUCGGAUUAGCUAGUAGGUGAGGUAAUGGCUCACCUAGGCGACGAUCCGUAACUGGUCUGAGAGGAUGAUCAGUCACACUGGAACUGAGACACGGUCCAGACUCCUACGGGAGGCAGCAGUGGGGAAUAUUGGACAAUGGGCGAAAGCCUGAUCCAGCCAUGCCGCGUGUGUGAAGAAGGUCUUCGGAUUGUAAAGCACUUUAAGUUGGGAGGAAGGGCAGUAAGUUAAUACCUUGCUGUUUUGACGUUACCAACAGAAUAAGCACCGGCUAACUUCGUGCCAGCAGCCGCGGUAAUACGAAGGGUGCAAGCGUUAAUCGGAAUUACUGGGCGUAAAGCGCGCGUAGGUGGUUCAGCAAGUUGGAGGUGAAAUCCCCGGGCUCAACCUGGGAACUGCCUCCAAAACUACUGAGCUAGAGUACGGUAGAGGGUAGUGGAAUUUCCUGUGUAGCGGUGAAAUGCGUAGAUAUAGGAAGGAACACCAGUGGCGAAGGCGACUACCUGGA